Molecule: ribosomal RNA, 477 nt
Filed under: uncultured Rheinheimera sp.
Lineage: Bacteria; Pseudomonadati; Pseudomonadota; Gammaproteobacteria; Chromatiales; Chromatiaceae
Description: bacterial SSU rRNA
Rfam family: Bacterial small subunit ribosomal RNA
Source: RNAcentral
AGAGUUUGAUCCUGGCUCAGAUUGAACGCUGGCGGCAGGCCUAACACAUGCAAGUCGAGCGGGGUUUUCGGACCUAGCGGCGGACGGGUGAGUAAUGCGUAGGAAGCUGCCCGAUAGAGGGGGAUACCAGUUGGAAACGACUGUUAAUACCGCAUAAUGUCUACGGACCAAAGUGUGGGACCUUCGGGCCACAUGCUAUCGGAUGCGCCUACGUGGGAUUAGCUAGUUGGUGAGGUAAUGGCUCACCAAGGCGACGAUCUCUAGCUGGUUUGAGAGGAUGAUCAGCCACACUGGAACUGAGACACGGUCCAGACUCCUACGGGAGGCAGCAGUGGGGAAUAUUGGACAAUGGGCGCAAGCCUGAUCCAGCCAUGCCGCGUGUGUGAAGAAGGCCUUCGGGUUGUAAAGCACUUUCAGCGAGGAGGAAGGGUGGUGUGUUAAUAGCACAUCAUUUUGACGUUACUCGCAGAAGAAGCA